UGGUGCGCAAGACGCAUGCGG
RNAcentral lists this unclassified non-coding RNA (21 nucleotides) under Chlamydomonas reinhardtii. RNAcentral's name for it is "small RNA Cre_3463". The record is from RNAcentral. Lineage: Eukaryota; Viridiplantae; Chlorophyta; Chlorophyceae; Chlamydomonadales; Chlamydomonadaceae.